This 426-nucleotide ribosomal RNA is filed under the name uncultured bacterium. RNAcentral's name for it is "bacterial SSU rRNA". It matches the Rfam family "Bacterial small subunit ribosomal RNA", at positions 917 to 1344 of the family's 1533-position model. The record is from RNAcentral.
GGGCCCGCACAAGCGGUGGAGUAUGUGGUUUAAUUCGAUGCAACGCGAAGAACCUUACCAGGGUUUGACAUCCUGCGAAUCUCUUGGAAACAGGAGAGUGCCUUCGGGAACGCAGUGACAGGUGGUGCAUGGCUGUCGUCAGCUCGUGUCGUGAGAUGUUGGGUUAAGUCCCGCAACGAGCGCAACCCACGUCUUUAGUUGCCAGCAUUUAGUUGGGCACUCUAGAGAGACUGCCGGUGCAAACCGUGAGGAAGGUGGGGAUGACGUCAAAUCAUCACGGCCCUUACGUCCUGGGCUACACACGUGCUACAAUGCUACGGACAAAGGGCAGCAAGUUCGCGAGGACAAGCAAAUCCCAUAAACCGUGGCUCAGUUCAGAUCGUAGGCUGCAACUCGCCUACGUGAAGGCGGAAUCGCUAGUAAUCG